RNAcentral lists this ribosomal RNA (428 nucleotides) under Rossellomorea vietnamensis. Its description in RNAcentral is "bacterial SSU rRNA". It matches the Rfam family "Bacterial small subunit ribosomal RNA", at positions 1 to 420 of the family's 1533-position model. Lineage: Bacteria; Bacillati; Bacillota; Bacilli; Caryophanales; Bacillaceae. The record is from RNAcentral.
UAUCGGAGAGUUUGAUCCUGGCUCAGGACGAACGCUGGCGGCGUGCCUAAUACAUGCAAGUCGAGCGGACUGAUGGGAGCUUGCUCCCUGAAGUCAGCGGCGGACGGGUGAGUAACACGUGGGUAACCUGCCUGUAAGACUGGGAUAACUCCGGGAAACCGGGGCUAAUACCGGAUAGUUCUUUUCCUCGCAUGAGGAAAAGUGGAAAGGCGGCUUCGGCUGCCACUUACAGAUGGACCCGCGGCGCAUUAGCUAGUUGGUGAGGUAACGGCUCACCAAGGCAACGAUGCGUAGCCGACCUGAGAGGGUGAUCGGCCACACUGGGACUGAGACACGGCCCAGACUCCUACGGGAGGCAGCAGUAGGGAAUCUUCCGCAAUGGACGAAAGUCUGACGGAGCAACGCCGCGUGAGUGAUGAAGGUUUUCG